GAUGAACGUUGGCGGCGUGCCUAACACAUGCAAGUCGAGCGGCAGCGCGUCCGACCACCCUCGGGUGGUCGGAUGGCGGCGAGCGGCGGACGGGUGAGGAAUGCAUCGGAAUCUGCCUCGUUGUGGGGGAUAACGUAGGGAAACUUACGCUAAUACCGCAUACGACCUACGGGUGAAAGUGGGGGACCUUCGGGCCUCACGCGAUGAGAUGAGCCGAUGCCGGAUUAGCUAGUUGGCGGGGUAAAGGCCCACCAAGGCGACGAUCCGUAGCUGGUCUGAGAGGAUGAUCAGCCACACUGGAACUGAGACACGGCCCAGACUCCUACGGGAGGCAGCAGUGGGGAAUCUUAGACAAUGGGCGAAAGCCUGAUCUAGCCAUGCCGCGUGGACGAUGAAGGCCUUAGGGUUGUAAAGUCCUUUUCAGAUGGGAAGAUAAUGACGGUACCAUCAGAAGAAGCCCCGGCUAACUACGUGCCAGCAGCCGCGGUAAGGAG
RNAcentral lists this ribosomal RNA (494 nucleotides) under uncultured bacterium. RNAcentral describes it as "bacterial SSU rRNA". It matches the Rfam family "Bacterial small subunit ribosomal RNA", at positions 28 to 527 of the family's 1533-position model. The record is from RNAcentral.